This 253-nucleotide ribosomal RNA is filed under the name uncultured bacterium. Its description in RNAcentral is "partial 16S ribosomal RNA". It matches the Rfam family "Bacterial small subunit ribosomal RNA", at positions 524 to 776 of the family's 1533-position model. The record is from RNAcentral.
UACGUAGGGGGCUAGCGUUGUCCGGAAUCAUUGGGCGUAAAGCGCGUGUAGGCGGCCCGAUAAGUCCGCUGUGAAAGUCCAGGGCUCAACCCUGGGAUGCCGGUGGAUACUGUCGGGCUCGAGUCCGGAAGAGGCGAGUGGAAUUCCUGGUGUAGCGGUGAAAUGCGCAGAUAUCAGGAGGAACACCAGUGGCGAAGGCAGAUCUCUGGGCCGUAACUGACGCUGAGGAGCGAAAGCAUGGGGAGCGAACAGG